AAGACUAUACUUUCAGGGAUCAUUUCUAUAGUUUUUAUACUCGGAAAUGUGCUCUAAAGUGUCUGAGCUCACCAACCAUGAGGAGGAGCUGUAGUGAUCUCUCCUGAGCGUGAAGAGAGCUCUCAGUCCUGCUUCAUUGCAGCUGCUGAUUGCUAUUGAUGAUCGUUCUCCUUCUCUGUCAUGGAGAAGGUGGAGGGAGAGAUCACAAGCUGAGUGGU
This is a small nucleolar RNA of Bufo bufo (common toad), 218 nucleotides long. RefSeq annotates it as small nucleolar RNA U3. The transcript has a single exon. The record is from RefSeq and is a predicted model, not a curated record. NCBI's taxonomy places the organism in Eukaryota, Metazoa, Chordata, Amphibia, Anura, Bufonidae.